This 466-nucleotide ribosomal RNA is filed under the name uncultured bacterium. RNAcentral's name for it is "partial 16S ribosomal RNA". It matches the Rfam family "Bacterial small subunit ribosomal RNA", at positions 28 to 506 of the family's 1533-position model. The record is from RNAcentral.
GAUGAACGCUGGCGGCGUGCUUAACACAUGCAAGUCGAACGAUGAUGCCCAGCUUGCUGGGUGGAUUAGUGACGAACGGGUGAGUAACACGUGAGUAACCUGCCCUUGACUCUGGGAUAAGCCUGGGAAACUGGGUCUAAUACCGGAUACGACCAUCUGGCGCAUGUCAUGGUGGUGGAAAGCUUUUGUGGUUUUGGAUGGACUCGCGGCCUAUCAGCUUGUUGGGGGGGUAAUGGCCUACCAAGGCGACGACGGGUAGCCGGCCUGAGGGGGUGCCCGGCCCACGGGGGACGGGAAACCGGCCCAACCCCCUCGGGGGGGGGGCGGGGGGGAUUAUGCAAAAAGGGGGGAAAGCGGGAGGCAGGGCCCCCGGGGGGGGGAUGGCGGCUUUGGGGUUGAAACCCGUUUUCAGGGGGGAAGAGGGGAAGGGGACGGUACUGGCAAAAGAAGCGCCGGCAAACUACGU